This 423-nucleotide ribosomal RNA is filed under the name uncultured cyanobacterium. Its description in RNAcentral is "bacterial SSU rRNA". It matches the Rfam family "Bacterial small subunit ribosomal RNA", at positions 359 to 795 of the family's 1533-position model. The record is from RNAcentral. Lineage: Bacteria; Bacillati; Cyanobacteriota.
GAAUUUUCCGCAAUGGGCGAAAGCCUGACGGAGCAAUACCGCGUGAGGGAAGACGGCCUAUGGGUUGUAAACCUCUUUUCUCAGGGAGGAACUCAAUGACGUGUACCUGAAGAAUAAGCAUCGGCUAACUCCGUGCCAGCAGCCGCGGUAAGACGGAGGAUGCAAGUGUUAUCCGGAAUCACUGGGCGUAAAGCGUCUGUAGGUGGUUUGGUAAGUCAACUGUUAAAUCUUGAGGCUCAGCCUCAAAAUCGCAGUCGAAACUAUCAGACUUGAGUAUAGUAGGGGUAAAGGGAAUUUCCAGUGGAGCGGUGAAAUGCGUAGAGAUUGGAAAGAACACCGAUGGCGAAGGCACUUUACUGGGCUAUUACUAACACUCAGAGACGAAAGCUAGGGUAGCAAAUGGGAUUAGAUACCCCAGUAGUC